AGGUCAUGUUGACGACAAUUCCUUAACAAUCAUUUGUAACGCUCCCAUGCCUCAUAUAGUGACUACCCCAGUUGUUGCUCAAAUUUGGCUAAUACCUUCUUGAGUUU
Lactuca sativa (garden lettuce) is the source of this 107-nucleotide small nucleolar RNA. The record is from RefSeq and is a predicted model, not a curated record. NCBI's taxonomy places the organism in Eukaryota, Viridiplantae, Streptophyta, Magnoliopsida, Asterales, Asteraceae.